Molecule: ribosomal RNA, 114 nt
Filed under: Ixodes myrmecobii
Lineage: Eukaryota; Metazoa; Arthropoda; Arachnida; Ixodida; Ixodidae
Description: partial small rRNA subunit
Source: RNAcentral
AAAUUUAAGCGUGGUUUUUUAAAAAAAGUUUUUAAUAGUCUUUAUAUAUUUAAUUAUAUAAAAUAUUAUAUAAUAGAAGAAAUUUUUUUUAUAUUUUAAAAAUAAAAAAAAAGU